This 253-nucleotide ribosomal RNA is filed under the name uncultured bacterium. RNAcentral's name for it is "partial 16S ribosomal RNA". It matches the Rfam family "Bacterial small subunit ribosomal RNA", at positions 524 to 776 of the family's 1533-position model. The record is from RNAcentral.
UACGAAGGGUGCAAGCGUUACUCGGAAUUACUGGGCGUAAAGCGUGCGUAGGUGGUUUGUUAAGUCUGAUGUGAAAGCCCUGGGCUCAACCUGGGAAUUGCAUUGGAUACUGGCAGGCUAGAGUGCGGUAGAGGAUGGCGGAAUUCCCGGUGUAGAGGUGAAAUUCGUAGAUAUCGGGAGGAACACCGGUGGCGAAGGCGGCGAUCUGGGUAGAUACUGACGCUGAGGUGCGAAAGCGUGGGGAGCAAACAGG